RNAcentral lists this ribosomal RNA (934 nucleotides) under uncultured Bacillota bacterium. RNAcentral describes it as "bacterial SSU rRNA". It matches the Rfam family "Bacterial small subunit ribosomal RNA", at positions 16 to 917 of the family's 1533-position model. The record is from RNAcentral. Lineage: Bacteria; Bacillati; Bacillota.
AUUCUGGCUCAGGAUGAACGCUGGCGGCGUGCCUAAUACAUGCAAGUCGAACGAAACUUCUUUAUCACCGAGUGCUUGCACUCACCGAUAAAGAGUUGAGUGGCGAACGGGUGAGUAACACGUGGGCAACCUGCCCAAAAGAGGGGGAUAACACUUGGAAACAGGUGCUAAUACCGCAUAACCAUAGUUACCGCAUGGUAACUAUGUAAAAGGUGGCUAUGCUACCGCUUUUGGAUGGGCCCGCGGCGCAUUAGCUAGUUGGUGGGGUAAAGGCUCACCAAGGCAAUGAUGCGUAGCCGAACUGAGAGGUUGAUCGGCCACAUUGGGACUGAGACACGGCCCAAACUCCUACGGGAGGCAGCAGUAGGGAAUCUUCCACAAUGGGCGAAAGCCUGAUGGAGCAACGCCGCGUGGGUGAAGAAGGUCUUCGGAUCGUAAAACCCUGUUGUUAGAGAAGAAAGUGCGUGAGAGUAACUGUUCACGUUUCGACGGUAUCUAACCAGAAAGCCACGGCUAACUACGUGCCAGCAGCCGCGGUAAUACGUAGGUGGCAAGCGUUAUCGGAUUUAUUGGGCGUAAAGGGAACGCAGGCGGUCUUUUAAGUCUGAUGUGAAAGCCUUCGGCUUAACCGGAGUAGUGCAUUGGAAACUGGGAGACUUGAGUGCAGAAGAGGAGAGUGGAACUCCAUGUGUAGCGGUGAAAUGCGUAGAUAUAUGGAAGAACACCAGUGGCGAAAGCGGCUCUCUGGUCUGUAACUGACGCUGAGGUUCGAAAGCGUGGGUAGCAAACAGGAUUAGAUACCCUGGUAGUCCACGCCGUAAACGAUGAAUGCUAAGUGUUGGAGGGUUUCCGCCCUUCAGUGCUGCAGCUAACGCAAUAAGCAUUCCGCAUGGGGAGCACGACCGCAAGGUUGCAACUCAAAGGAAUUGACGGA